RNAcentral lists this small RNA (593 nucleotides) under Arabidopsis thaliana (thale cress). RNAcentral's name for it is "ATSL191650". The stretch from base 222 to 403 matches the Rfam family "MIR5635 microRNA precursor family". Lineage: Eukaryota; Viridiplantae; Streptophyta; Magnoliopsida; Brassicales; Brassicaceae. The record is from RNAcentral.
UCAAAAUAUUCCCCACAUUUUAUAUAUAUCACAAACCUACCAUAAAAAAAAUCAAUAUACACUCACUGAGACACUGAAAUAAAUAUUCAAAGGUGAUAAAGAAUAGAAAAAAUGUUAUUUAAUACCUGAACUUUUAAAAAGUGGCCAAAUUAACCAUGAAUUUUUGAAAUGGCCGUUUUAUACCUCAACAAAAAGUUGACUUCUAAUUUAACCUAUAAGUUAUCGUUGACACGGCCAAAUCGACUCACCAUUAACACUUCUUAACAGCUCUCCUAACAGCGUAACUAACAACUGUUUUUGUCCUUAAACCAACGAUAACGGCUGUUAGGCCAUGUUUUGUAACGGCUGUUAGGAGCGCUGUUAAGGAGUGUUAACGGUGAGUCUAUUUGGCUGGGUCAACGAUAAAUUAUAUGUUAAAUUAGAAGUCAACAAUAAAUUAUAGGUUAAAUUAGAAAUCAACUUUUUUUUGAGGUAUAAAACGACCAUUUCAAAAGUUCACGGUUAAUUUGGCCAUUUUUUGAAAGUUUAGGUAUUAAAUAACAUUUUUUCCGAUAAGCAUAGUUAUGUAUUUUUUAAGCUAAAAAAUAAAGACA